Molecule: long non-coding RNA, 222 nt
Filed under: Actinidia chinensis (golden kiwifruit)
Lineage: Eukaryota; Viridiplantae; Streptophyta; Magnoliopsida; Ericales; Actinidiaceae
Description: long non-coding RNA (ACHI_LNC005631)
Source: RNAcentral
GGAAGAUCGAUCAAGAAAUUGAAAACACAGGUUAAGACACAGGCAUAACUCAAUGAAGAUAUCAGAUGAUUUUACACUUAUAUGUAGUCAGUCUUCUUUUUCAUAUGUAAUUUGGGCGCGGCGCAGAGGAGAUCAGAGAGAGAGAGAGAGAGAAAUGGCGACUAGUCGUCGCCGUAGGGGUAACAGAAGAAUUAUUGGGAUUUUGUGCAAUGCGGCCCUUUG